This 120-nucleotide ribosomal RNA is filed under the name Triticum turgidum subsp. durum (durum wheat). The record is from RNAcentral. Lineage: Eukaryota; Viridiplantae; Streptophyta; Magnoliopsida; Poales; Poaceae.
GGAUGCGAUCAUACCAGCACUAAAGCACCGGAUCCCAUCAGAACUCCGAAGUUAAGUGUGCUUGGGUGAGAGUAGUACUAGGAUGGGUGACCUCCUGGGAAGUCCUCGUGUUGCAUUCCA